CCUGGAGUCAGCACAGGAACUACUGUGAGAAAUGCAAAAGUCUGAAACCUCUAGAUUCGCCAGAUGAUCUAAUUGCUGCGAGAAGGAGCAGUAUCGGAACAAUAUAGAAUAAUACUAAUGUAUACGGAAGAUUCUUGGAGUCUCACCUCAUCUACCAGAAGAGUUUCCAAGGUGGAAAAUAAAUGCUAGUACAGCUAGCAGUACAGAGCUGCAAGAACCCUUUCUGUUUUUCUGAAAACGAGUCUAAGAAAGCUCUGCGGAGUCUCCAGCACAGUGCCUACUCUUUGUUUGAGGAAAACCAGAAAAUUGAGUAGAACUUGCAGAAAUAAUCUAAUUUACAUCACUCAAGACUUUUUACCUAGUACCGGUGGCAAACUGCACAAUAAUAAACACCAGAACUGAAGACUGUAAACCAUGCCAGUAUUUUGGGCCAAGGCUGGAGUGCUCAAGCAUCUAGCAAGCAGAUCAAGAGGAAUGUCACUGUGUGACCAAGGAGAGCUCAACCUCUGCUCUCAAAUUUGGCCACUGUUAAUGGCCUGUAAAACUUCUAAGCUGCCUCAAUGAGAACAAGCAACGCCAAGAAGAACAGGCCCAGCAGGGAGGGCUAUUCAGGCCAUAGCAGUUCUUGCCCUUAUUCGAACAGAACGGGUGCGGCUACAUGCAACCCACAGCGAACAGAACAUCUGAUGCAGAUAUGCCAUCUACAUAGCUGCCUGGAGAUCAUACAAAGCUGCAGAAGGAUACCCACUGUCCAUAAAAAGUUGCAUACCUUAAGUUAGAUGAUAGAAGCUACAACACUAAGCAUUGUUACAAAAUAUAGAGAGAGAGACUAAGAAC
Molecule: long non-coding RNA, 837 nt
Organism: Gallus gallus (chicken)
Lineage: Eukaryota; Metazoa; Chordata; Aves; Galliformes; Phasianidae
Source: Ensembl